GGGGGCCCGCAAGCGGUGGAGCAUGUGGUUCAAUUCGACGCAACGCGAAGAACCUUACCUGGGCUCGAAGCGCAGUGGACCGGGGUAGAAAUAUCCCUUCCCCUUAAAAGGCUGCUGCGGAGGUGCUGCAUGGCUGUCGUCAGCUCGUGUCGUGAGAUGUUGGGUUAAGUCCCGCAACGAGCGCAACCCUUAUCCCUAGUUGCCAUCGGGUCAAGCCGGGCACUCUAGUGAAACCGCUUCGGAUAACGGAGAGGAAGGUGGGGAUGACGUCAAGUCCUCAUGGCCCUUAUGUCCAGGGCUACACACGUGCUACAAUGGCCGGUACAAACCGUCCCAAACCCGCGAGGGGGAGGCAAUCGGAAAAAGCCGGCCUCAGUUCGGAUUGGAGUCUGCAACUCGACUCCAUGAAGCUGGAAUCGCUAGUAAUCGCGGAUCAGAACGCCGCGGUGAAUACGUUCCCGGGCCUUGUACACACC
This 476-nucleotide ribosomal RNA is filed under the name uncultured bacterium. Its description in RNAcentral is "bacterial SSU rRNA". It matches the Rfam family "Bacterial small subunit ribosomal RNA", at positions 915 to 1391 of the family's 1533-position model. The record is from RNAcentral.